CCUCUCUCUGAUAUCCUGAUUUUGGUGUGUCCACACAUCACCUCCAACCAGAGGAACAUAUACAACAUCUAGAACCUUCCGUCCUCCAGACAUUUCACUAUAAUGGCCGUGAACGGUAAUCUAAUGGCAAUAUCAAAUUUUAGUUUCUAUAAUUUUCAGUAGAUAAAAAAGAUUUUGUUAUUGAUGAUCUUCUGCUCGUACCCUCGGCGACGAAAAUUUUGUUGUCCGUGCAUCGAUUCUGUUGUGAUAACGACGUGAUUCUGGAAUUCGAUGUGUCAAGGUGCGUGACUGCCGGAACAGGAAAAUUCUGAUGGAAGGGGAAAAAAGCAAUGGUCUCUAUCAACUACCUAUCAACAUCUCAAGGCUACCUCAAGCUAUGAGUACAACAAGAGCGUCGACACAAGUCUGACAUUGCCGCUUGGGUUACCUC
RNAcentral lists this long non-coding RNA (430 nucleotides) under Zostera marina. Its description in RNAcentral is "long non-coding RNA (ZMAR_LNC002657)". Lineage: Eukaryota; Viridiplantae; Streptophyta; Magnoliopsida; Alismatales; Zosteraceae. The record is from RNAcentral.